CCUACGGGGGGCAGCAGUGGGGAAUAUUGCACAAUGGGGGAAACCCUGAUGCAGCGACGCCGCGUGCGCGAUGAAGUAUUUCGGUAUGUAAAGCUCUAUCAGCAGGGAAGAAAAUGACGGUACCUGACUAAGAAGCCCCGGCUAACUACGUGACAGCAGCCGCGGUACUACGUGGGGGGCAACCGUUAUCCGGAUUUACUGGGUGUAAACGGAGCGUAGGCGGUCCUGCAAGCCAGGUGUGAAAGCCCGGGGCUCAACCCCGGGACUGAAUUUGAAACUGUAAGGCUAGAGUGUCGGAGAGGCAGGCGGAAUUCGUGGUGUAGCGGUGAAAUGCGUAGAUAUUAGGAGGAACACCAGUGGCGAAGGCGGCCUGCUGGACGACGACUGACGUUGAGGCUCGAAGGCGUGGGGAGCAAACAGGAUUAGAUACCCCUGUAGUC
Molecule: ribosomal RNA, 440 nt
Filed under: uncultured bacterium
Lineage: Bacteria
Description: partial 16S ribosomal RNA
Rfam family: Bacterial small subunit ribosomal RNA
Source: RNAcentral